CGACUUACACCGGCACCGGGCCUGCGAGCUUGCCCAUAGCUCGCGCAUUGAAGGUCUAUUGUUGCAUUCGUGGUGGUAGUUGAAGGAGCCCAUACAUGAGCGGAAACUUCGAUAUUCAACGACUAACGAUAGCUUAUACGCUCGACGAACCCUUAACUAACUAACUCCACCAUAUUCGAACGUGCACAAACCUCUGUAAAAUAGAAGGCUUACCACUGUGCUAUAUUCGAAGUAAGUUGACAUCGAAAGUGAAUCCUUUUCGAUUUCGGCUCCUCAUAGGGAAACGAUACAGAUAGGAAUAAGGGUAGGAUGACUAAUCACUUAGAUUCCUCAACUAACCCUCACAACCAUUUCUAUCUGGACUCGGGCCCAUCUGCACGCCCAUAUCUUAUCUGGUCGACAUCCUUUUUGUCCAGAGAACACCGAACAUCGAGGCGAGGUGCGUUCCGUCUAGGUUUAAAUAAAAAGAAUCCAGCUCGGAGACAUAACCGGAAACUAGAAUAUAAAACUAUGGAAUCCAUCAAUUCCACCUUUUAUGUUCUCAGAAAAGAAAAUGCCGCGAAUAGUCUCCUCGGGGACUUGGGCGGGUCGCGGUUCAAGGGCUAAAUAGCGCCAGUGGGAGCCCGAAACGACGUUUUAGGGAAUUCCAGAAGGGUAGAGCACGAACCCUUCUUCAAACGGACCUUCAUUCUAUGAUUAGAUUCGCAACCAGGGAACCUAAAGAGGCAGGUAAGGGUGGACCGAACUAGCGCUCGUUUAGGAUGAUUUCGCAAUUCUAGCCGAUUGUUCUCGAGUCCGCGCGAUGAAGCAGCAUCCUCGAGCUCGAGAACCCCUGUCUAAUAUGUUCCAAACCCAUAAUAUAAAAAAGUCUAGUCAGAGGGCUAAAGCAGACUGGGGCCAAUUACUCGAGAGUGGGGCUAAGAAAAAAAUUGGUUGUAACUAAAGUCCUUCUUUAACUGAACUGGUCAUUUAGGCAAAUUGUUCAUAAAAAAAUGUCCUCACACCUCCAAAUGAGCUUCCUUCAACGCCAAGUAAGUCGAACGGAAACCCAGG
Molecule: long non-coding RNA, 1053 nt
Filed under: Fragaria vesca (wild strawberry)
Lineage: Eukaryota; Viridiplantae; Streptophyta; Magnoliopsida; Rosales; Rosaceae
Description: long non-coding RNA (FVES_LNC004373)
Source: RNAcentral